UCACGAAUCUUUGAACGCACAUUGCGCCCUCUGGUAUUCCGGAGGGCAUGCCUGUCCGAGCGUCAUUGCUGCCCUCAAGCACGGCUUGUGUGUUGGGCCCCGUCCUCCUUCCGGGGGACGGGUCCGAAAGGCAGCGGCGGCACCGCGUCCGGUCCUCAAGCGUAUGGGGCUUUGUCACUCGCUUUGUAGGCCUGGCCGGCGCUUGCCGAUCAACCAAACUUUUUAUCAGGUUGACCUCGGAUCAGGUAGGGAUACCCGCUGAACUUAAG
This 269-nucleotide unclassified non-coding RNA is filed under the name uncultured Penicillium. Its description in RNAcentral is "sequence contains 5.8S rRNA gene". The stretch from base 1 to 65 matches the Rfam family "5.8S ribosomal RNA", at positions 90 to 154 of the family's 154-position model. Lineage: Eukaryota; Fungi; Ascomycota; Eurotiomycetes; Eurotiales; Aspergillaceae. The record is from RNAcentral.